Transfer RNA from Felis catus (domestic cat), 85 nucleotides. It matches the Rfam family "tRNA". Rfam says of the family: Transfer RNA (tRNA) molecules are approximately 80 nucleotides in length. Their secondary structure includes four short double-helical elements and three loops (D, anti-codon, and T loops). The record is from Rfam. Lineage: Eukaryota; Metazoa; Chordata; Mammalia; Carnivora; Felidae.
GCCUGGGUGGCUCAGUCGGUUGAGCGUCCGACUUCGGCUCAGGUCACGAUCUCGCGGUAUGUGAGUUCGAGCCCCACGUCGGGCU